CCGUGUAUAGCGCAGCCUGGUAGCGCAUCUGGUUUGGGACCAGAGGGUCGAAGGUUCAAAUCCUUUUACACGGACCA
RNAcentral lists this transfer RNA (77 nucleotides) under Rhodoferax antarcticus ANT.BR. RNAcentral describes it as "tRNA-Pro". It matches the Rfam family "tRNA". Rfam says of the family: Transfer RNA (tRNA) molecules are approximately 80 nucleotides in length. Their secondary structure includes four short double-helical elements and three loops (D, anti-codon, and T loops). The record is from RNAcentral. Lineage: Bacteria; Pseudomonadati; Pseudomonadota; Betaproteobacteria; Burkholderiales; Comamonadaceae.